Molecule: ribosomal RNA, 465 nt
Filed under: Vreelandella stevensii
Lineage: Bacteria; Pseudomonadati; Pseudomonadota; Gammaproteobacteria; Oceanospirillales; Halomonadaceae
Description: partial 16S ribosomal RNA
Rfam family: Bacterial small subunit ribosomal RNA
Source: RNAcentral
CCUACGGGAGGCAGCAGUGGGGAAUAUUGGACAAUGGGGGCAACCCUGAUCCAGUCAUGCCGCGUGUGUGAAGAAGGCCCUCGGGUUGUAAAGCACUUUCAGUGAGGAAGAACGCCUGGUGGUUAAUACCCAUCAGGAAAGACAUCACUCACAGAAGAAGCACCGGCUAACUCCGUGCCAGCAGCCGCGGUAAUACGGAGGGUGCGAGCGUUAAUCGGAAUUACUGGGCGUAAAGCGCGCGUAGGUGGCUUGAUAAGCCGGUUGUGAAAGCCCCGGGCUCAACCUGGGAACGGCAUCCGGAACUGUCAAGCUAGAGUGCAGGAGAGGAAGGUAGAAUUCCCGGUGUAGCGGUGAAAUGCGUAGAGAUCGGGAGGAAUACCAGUGGCGAAGGCGGCCUUCUGGACUGACACUGACACUGAGGUGCGAAAGCGUGGGUAGCAAACAGGAUUAGAUACCCGUGUAGUC